UCUAGAACAUUAUUGCCGAAAUCCAGAGAUAGGCAGACGCAGUCGCAAGUUGGUAGCAGGUGGCUAGAUCCCUCUCAAUCAUCAAUCUACAGCCAGGAGAAGACUAGGACGGAUUUACCUCUUCCAAGCUAUGGAUCUGUGGGACCGAUUCGGCGCAUACGGAAUAAAUUUGGCUCAGAAUCUCGCCCUAGGAAAUCCAUUUUCCUGAAUUCUCCAAAUGCUUCUUCACCUUUAGAAAAAGUUGGUGCUUCCAAAUUGUUCUUGCCUGCUGCUGCCGGAAAGAAUUUGGAAGUUGGUCAAACUAGUGGUCUGGAGAAGUACCAGUCAGUGGACCAUAGAGUAGGCACGUCUGAAGAACCUAUGCCACUCAUAAGUUCUUCAAAUGAUGCUGUAAGAAAAAUAUUAGAGCAACUUGAUAGACACAAACCCACUCCUGCAGAAAAGGCAGCUGAAUUGAAGCUGGCAAGCAAAUGGAAGAAAUAUCCCGGCAAAGAAAUCUCUGAUUCCACUCCAAAUGAUAAAAUGAAAUCAUCACAUUUAGGAGACUUUGGAAUACGUAUGAACAAUGGUCUGGCAGCUGCCCAAUCGUCCAAGGAAGGAGAUAAUGGAACAGUCAAUCGUGUGGAAAUACAUCAAGAGCAAACUACCCGUGGAACUGACACUGGUACGGAUGCUAGUACUAAAGCUGCUAGUAUAGCUAAUGUGUUAGGUACAACGGCUAAAGCCAAUACUGUCCCGCCCUUCACUUCUAAGGCAGCUGAUUCCCAAGUCAAAAGUUUCUUUUCUGGUUCUCACAAUCCAAGUUUGCGCAAGGACUCGAUACACACUGAUGAUGGACAGAAAGAUAAAGGUGCUACCCCACAGUGGCCUUCUUUCCGUAAUCAAAGCAAUGGGCAGAAUGCUGCAACGUUAUCCAACUCCACGGGUUUCCAGCUACCAAGAAAUGCUCCUGGACAAGCCUCUGGUGCAAAACCUAACUUGCCAUCCAUUUUUGUUAAUAAGCCCAAUCCUAGAAAUGCGACUUUCCCAGACAAUGGGUUUGGAUUCAGUUUCCCAGUCCCUGCGUCAUCUGGAGCACUCUCAGAACCACCAACACCAUCCAUGCCAUCUCCCGCAGCCGGUGUCCUCUCUCAGCCAGUGGAUGCAUCCACUUCUCCAGUGUACACCUUCGGCACUGGUAAAUCAGCUGAACGACUAGUCUUCUCUUUUCCCUCUACGAGCAAUGCAUCUGUUCCCGUGGAUGCUUCAGAUCUCAAGUUUAGCUUUGGAACAGACAGGAAAUCAAGACUAUCUUUUGGUGCAAUAGGAAAAGCAACAUGCUAGGAAGGUUUGUCAAUACUCUAGCUGCAGGAUUUAAACUCAAUGAUGGAAACUCUACUUCAUAAUAUUUUUUGUAUUCUCACCUACAUUUUGUUAUCUGCCACAGCUUUCAUUUUGAAGAAUGGAUGAAUACCUG
Molecule: unclassified non-coding RNA, 1456 nt
Filed under: Hevea brasiliensis (rubber tree)
Lineage: Eukaryota; Viridiplantae; Streptophyta; Magnoliopsida; Malpighiales; Euphorbiaceae
Source: RNAcentral